AUACGUAGGGGGCGAGCGUUGUCCGGAAUGAUUGGGCGUAAAGGGCGCGUAGGCGGCCUGUUAAGUCUGGAGUGAAAGUCCUGUUUUCAAGAUGGGAAUUGCUUUGGAUACUGAUGGGCUUGAGUGCAGGAGAGGUUAUCGGAAUUCCCGGUGUAGCGGUGUAAUGCGUAGAGAUCGGGAGGAACACCAGUGGCGAAGGCGGGUAACUGGACUGCAACUGACGCUGAGGCGCGAAAGUGUGGGGAGCAAACAGGAUUAGAUACCCUGGUAGUCCACACUGUAAACGAUGAAUGCUAGGUGUAAGAGGUAUCGACCCCUUUUGUGCCGGAGUUAACACAAUAAGCAUUCCGCCUGGGGAGUACGGCCGCAAGGUUGAAACUCAAAGGAAUUGACGGGG
Molecule: ribosomal RNA, 397 nt
Filed under: uncultured bacterium
Lineage: Bacteria
Description: partial 16S ribosomal RNA
Rfam family: Bacterial small subunit ribosomal RNA
Source: RNAcentral